GCACUUUUGCGUCGCAAUGGUUCCCGCUGGGGCUCUCCGCCCGGGGAUUAAAAGGGAAUGCCGUGCGAUUCGGCAACAGUUCCCGCUGCUGUAAGUCCCGCCCGCAAGGGCCGGUGCUCUCCGCACAAGCCACUAUUCUGUCACAGCGACAGGACGGGAAGGCGCGGAGAGCGGGACAAGUCAGAAGACCUGCCGCUGCGACAUAGAUUUU
Molecule: non-coding RNA, 211 nt
Filed under: Alistipes indistinctus
Lineage: Bacteria; Pseudomonadati; Bacteroidota; Bacteroidia; Bacteroidales; Rikenellaceae
Also listed under: 1 other name
Source: RNAcentral